Molecule: transfer RNA, 77 nt
Filed under: Actinomycetota bacterium
Lineage: Bacteria; Bacillati; Actinomycetota
Description: tRNA-Pro
Rfam family: tRNA
About the family: Transfer RNA (tRNA) molecules are approximately 80 nucleotides in length.
Source: RNAcentral
CGGGCUGUGGCGCAGUUUGGUAGCGCGCUUGACUGGGGGUCAAGAGGUCCCGGGUUCAAGUCCCGGCAGCCCGACCA